This 1387-nucleotide ribosomal RNA is filed under the name Klebsiella variicola. RNAcentral's name for it is "bacterial SSU rRNA". It matches the Rfam family "Bacterial small subunit ribosomal RNA". The record is from RNAcentral. Lineage: Bacteria; Pseudomonadati; Pseudomonadota; Gammaproteobacteria; Enterobacterales; Enterobacteriaceae.
AGUCGAGCGGUAGCACAGAGAGCUUGCUCUCGGGUGACGAGCGGCGGACGGGUGAGUAAUGUCUGGGAAACUGCCUGAUGGAGGGGGAUAACUACUGGAAACGGUAGCUAAUACCGCAUAACGUCGCAAGACCAAAGUGGGGGACCUUCGGGCCUCAUGCCAUCAGAUGUGCCCAGAUGGGAUUAGCUGGUAGGUGGGGUAACGGCUCACCUAGGCGACGAUCCCUAGCUGGUCUGAGAGGAUGACCAGCCACACUGGAACUGAGACACGGUCCAGACUCCUACGGGAGGCAGCAGUGGGGAAUAUUGCACAAUGGGCGCAAGCCUGAUGCAGCCAUGCCGCGUGUGUGAAGAAGGCCUUCGGGUUGUAAAGCACUUUCAGCGGGGAGGAAGGCGGUGAGGUUAAUAACCUCAUCGAUUGACGUUACCCGCAGAAGAAGCACCGGCUAACUCCGUGCCAGCAGCCGCGGUAAUACGGAGGGUGCAAGCGUUAAUCGGAAUUACUGGGCGUAAAGCGCACGCAGGCGGUCUGUCAAGUCGGAUGUGAAAUCCCCGGGCUCAACCUGGGAACUGCAUUCGAAACUGGCAGGCUAGAGUCUUGUAGAGGGGGGUAGAAUUCCAGGUGUAGCGGUGAAAUGCGUAGAGAUCUGGAGGAAUACCGGUGGCGAAGGCGGCCCCCUGGACAAAGACUGACGCUCAGGUGCGAAAGCGUGGGGAGCAAACAGGAUUAGAUACCCUGGUAGUCCACGCUGUAAACGAUGUCGAUUUGGAGGUUGUGCCCUUGAGGCGUGGCUUCCGGAGCUAACGCGUUAAAUCGACCGCCUGGGGAGUACGGCCGCAAGGUUAAAACUCAAAUGAAUUGACGGGGGCCCGCACAAGCGGUGGAGCAUGUGGUUUAAUUCGAUGCAACGCGAAGAACCUUACCUGGUCUUGACAUCCACAGAACUUUCCAGAGAUGGAUUGGUGCCUUCGGGAACUGUGAGACAGGUGCUGCAUGGCUGUCGUCAGCUCGUGUUGUGAAAUGUUGGGUUAAGUCCCGCAACGAGCGCAACCCUUAUCCUUUGUUGCCAGCGGUUAGGCCGGGAACUCAAAGGAGACUGCCAGUGAUAAACUGGAGGAAGGUGGGGAUGACGUCAAGUCAUCAUGGCCCUUACGACCAGGGCUACACACGUGCUACAAUGGCAUAUACAAAGAGAAGCGACCUCGCGAGAGCAAGCGGACCUCAUAAAGUAUGUCGUAGUCCGGAUUGGAGUCUGCAACUCGACUCCAUGAAGUCGGAAUCGCUAGUAAUCGUAGAUCAGAAUGCUACGGUGAAUACGUUCCCGGGCCUUGUACACACCGCCCGUCACACCAUGGGAGUGGGUUGCAAAAGAAGUAGGUAGCUUAAC